CUAAAGUUUUAUUUUGGCUUGUAAAUUUAUUGUUAGUUUAAUUUAUAUGUAAAUUUUUAUGUGAAUUUUUAUUUAUUUUAAUAAUAAGUAAAAUUAUUUUAUCCGCAGUAAUUAAUAUUAUUAAUUAAGGAAACUUAGAAAUAGUAAUACUAAAGAGUAGUGGCUAAAUUUGUGCCAGCAGCCGCGGUUAUACGAAUAAUGCAAAUAAAUUUUUUUAGUUAAAGUUAAAUUGUUUAAUAUAAAAUAAAAAUAAAUUUAUUAAGUGAAAUUUUAAAUUUGUAUAUUUUUUAUU
RNAcentral lists this ribosomal RNA (292 nucleotides) under Calliphora vicina (urban bluebottle blowfly). Its description in RNAcentral is "partial 12S ribosomal RNA". The record is from RNAcentral. Lineage: Eukaryota; Metazoa; Arthropoda; Insecta; Diptera; Calliphoridae.